GUAGGGAAUAUUGGGCAAUGGAUGCAAGUCUGACCCAGCCAUCCCGCGUGCCGGAAGAAGGCCCUCAGGGUUGUAAACGGCUUUUGACGGUGAAGAAUCGACAGGAUGCGUCCUGUUUUGACGGUAGCCGUUGAAUAAGCACCGGCUAACUCCGUGCCAGCAGCCGCGGUAAUACGGAGGGUGCGAGCGUUGUCCGGAUUUAUUGGGUUUAAAGGGUGCGUAGGCUGGAAGGUCAGUCAGCGGUGAAAAGCUGUCGCUUAACGAUAGUCUUGCCGCAGAUACUUCCGUGCUUGGAUGAGGAGGAGGCCACUGGAACGGAUGGUGUAGCGGUGAAAUGCAUAGAUAUCAUCCAGAACACCGAUUGCGAAGGCAGGUGGCUGUACCUUAAUCGACGCUGAUGCACGAAAGCAUGGGGAGCAAACAGGAUUAGAUACCCUUGUAGUCC
RNAcentral lists this ribosomal RNA (445 nucleotides) under uncultured bacterium. RNAcentral's name for it is "partial 16S ribosomal RNA". It matches the Rfam family "Bacterial small subunit ribosomal RNA", at positions 354 to 796 of the family's 1533-position model. The record is from RNAcentral.